CAUAAUCCUUCAAUCCUUUCAAUAAUGUCUACUCAGCAAGCCUUGUUUUAUACAGAAAAAAUUAUAUAAAAGCCCUUGUUAAGAAAGGAAGAUCAGUACUCGGAGAAAAGAAAGAAAUAUUGCUAAGAAUUCAUUUGCUUAAUUCCCUCAAACUCAGUUAGCUCAAUGGACAGCUUUGCUCAACGGCUCAAGGAUAGAGCCGUGUGUCUCAUUGAUCUUGUCAAGUGUAGAAACUGCAGUGAGUCUCAAGAUAAUGGGUUUCCUCCGAAUUCGAAAAAAAUUGAGACAGAGAAGUCCCAGCUGAAAAUAUCUAUUCAAGAGCGAAAAUUGGGACCAAGUCACCCCGGUGUGAAGAGCCCUCCACCCUCUCAAACCAACUGAAGUAUCGGAUUUUUUUUUUUUAUAUAUUUAAUUUGUGAUGGACUUCUUUUUUAAUUGGUGUUUAUCUGUAUCUUAUUUACUAGAUUCUUGUGUAAUGUUUGUUCAUGGUUUUGUUAGCAAAGUUCAAGUUGUAUGACUGGCUUUGUUGGAAGUAUCCGGUUUGAGUGUUUUUCAAAAUUUAAUCCUUAUUGUCAAAUUUUUCUUUAAUGAAAUGAAAGUGUUGAGAGAAUUGUUUACUCUU
Molecule: long non-coding RNA, 622 nt
Organism: Asparagus officinalis (garden asparagus)
Lineage: Eukaryota; Viridiplantae; Streptophyta; Magnoliopsida; Asparagales; Asparagaceae
Exons: 3
Source: RefSeq, a predicted model, not a curated record